RNAcentral lists this ribosomal RNA (468 nucleotides) under uncultured bacterium. RNAcentral's name for it is "partial 16S ribosomal RNA". It matches the Rfam family "Bacterial small subunit ribosomal RNA", at positions 28 to 507 of the family's 1533-position model. The record is from RNAcentral.
GACGAACGCUGGCGGCGUGCUUAACACAUGCAAGUCGAACGGAAAGGCCCUGCUUUUGUGGGGUGCUCGAGUGGCGAACGGGUGAGUAACACGUGAGUAACCUGCCCUUGACUUUGGGAUAACUUCAGGAAACUGGGGCUAAUACCGGAUAGGAGCUCCUGCUGCAUGGUGGGGGUUGGAAAGUUUCGGCGGUUGGGGAUGAACUCGCGGCUUAUCAGCUUGUUGGUGGGGUAGUGGCUUACCAAGGCCUUGACGGGUAGCCGGCCUGAGAGGGUGACCGGCCACAUUGGGACUGAGAUACGGCCCAGACUCCUACGGGAGGCAGCAGUGGGGAAUAUUGCACGAUGGGCGGAAGCCUGAUGCAGCAACGCCGCGUGCGGGAUGACGGCCUUCGGGUUGUAAACCGCUUUCGCAUGUGACGAAGCGUGAGUGACGGUAAUGGGUAAAGAAGCACCGGCUAACUACGUG